UGGCGGCAUGCCUUACACAUGCAAGUCGAACGGCAGCACGGGAGCUUGCUCCUGGUGGCGAGUGGCGAACGGGUGAGUAAUGCAUCGGAACGUGCCCUGAAGUGGGGGAUAACGUAGCGAAAGUUACGCUAAUACCGCAUAUUCUGUGAGCAGGAAAGCAGGGGAUCUUCGGACCUUGCGCUUUUGGAGCGGCCGAUGUCGGAUUAGCUAGUUGGUGAGGUAAAGGCUCACCAAGGCGACGAUCCGUAGCGGGUCUGAGAGGAUGAUCCGCCACACUGGGACUGAGACACGGCCCAGACUCCUACGGGAGGCAGCAGUGGGGAAUUUUGGACAAUGGGCGCAAGCCUGAUCCAGCCAUGCCGCGUGAGUGAAGAAGGCCUUCGGGUUGUAAAGCUCUUUCGGUGGGGAAGAAAUUGCUUCGGUUAAUACCUGGAGUAGAUGACGGUACCCGCAUAAGAAGCACCGGCUAACUACGUG
Molecule: ribosomal RNA, 477 nt
Filed under: uncultured bacterium
Lineage: Bacteria
Description: bacterial SSU rRNA
Rfam family: Bacterial small subunit ribosomal RNA
Source: RNAcentral